GGAAGAACAAAAUGCUUCUUCCCAAGGAACUAUGCAAAAAAAAUUCUGCAACACACCAGUGAUCUAAUAGAGGCAGGUGCAACAUCACAAAGGCCUGCUGUGACCAUGAAAAACCAAAAAGAUGUCAACUGUACCCCACAAAAAAAAAGACAGGAAAACAAGAUAUACAUGCUAUCAGUGUAAGUGAGGCUUGUGUAUGAAAUAGGCAGUUUUCAUGUGUGAAGACUUCCAUGAGUAUGACAACUGAAGCAAAGAUUAUUUCUAUGAUCCUCCCUUCAUUUGAUGGAUGAAGAAGGCAAGAAAAUAUCUUGCAAGUGUCCACUCUGAGAUGCUAGACAAACACAACUCCCGUUAUCAAGGGGCUUUCUGCUUCUCCCAAAAUACCAGUCCAAAUGCCACACCAAGGAGCAUGUAAAAAGAAUAUUUUUGCAGAACCUAUGCUUAACACAGAUUGAUUCAAGGAUCAAAGCUGAUGCCAUUGAUUUUGAGCUCACACAAAGUGCUCUCCACUCAGAUUUAAGCUCUCCCUACACACAGACCCCGACAUGGUCCACGGUAAUCCAGUCAACAACCACCCAGGGAUUGUUAUUACAGGGGGCAAUGCCCUGGGCUGAAGGGGGCUCAGUCUCCAGGUUCACAGAGCUCCUUCCAGGGGAGGAUCUCUAGGGUAGGAAAGGUAAACACACAAAUGAAUAAAUGAUAUAUAAUUCACAUAGCAAGUACAAGGAAGGUAAGGAAUGACCAUUCUCACAGCUUCAGUACA
This 763-nucleotide long non-coding RNA is filed under the name Heterocephalus glaber (naked mole-rat). Its description in RNAcentral is "lncRNA (ENSHGLG00100034798.1)". Lineage: Eukaryota; Metazoa; Chordata; Mammalia; Rodentia; Bathyergidae. The record is from RNAcentral.